ACUAUGUGCCAGCAGCCGCGGUAAUACAUAGGGUGCAAGCGUUGUCCGGAAUUAUUGGGCGUAAAGAGCUCGUAGGUGGUUCGUCACGUCGGAUGUGAAACUCUGGGGCUUAACCCCAGACCUGCAUUCGAUACGGGCGAGCUUGAGUAUGGUAGGGGAGUCUGGAAUUCCUGGUGUAGCGGUGGAAUGCGCAGAUAUCAGGAGGAACACCGAUGGCGAAGGCAGGUCUCUGGGCCAAUACUGACACUGAGGAGCGAAAGCGUGGGGAGCGAACAGGAUUAGAUACCCCUGGUAGUCCACGCCGUAAACGGUGGGCGCUAGUUGUGCGAACCUUCCACGGUUUGUGCGACGCAGCUAACGCAUUAAGCGCCCCCGCCUGGGGAGUACGAUCGCGAGAUUAAAACUCAAAGGAAUUGACGGGGCCCCGCACAAGCAGCGGAGCAUGCGGCUUAAUUCGACGCACGCGAAGAACCUUACCAAGGCUUGACAUAUACAGGAAUACGGCAGAAUGUC
This 513-nucleotide ribosomal RNA is filed under the name uncultured Actinomycetes bacterium. Its description in RNAcentral is "bacterial SSU rRNA". It matches the Rfam family "Bacterial small subunit ribosomal RNA", at positions 500 to 1010 of the family's 1533-position model. The record is from RNAcentral. Lineage: Bacteria; Bacillati; Actinomycetota; Actinomycetes.